CAUCAUACGAAUCUGUCAGUUGUUGCACCGGUCAUUCGUUAAAACCCCACCGUUGUCUCAAUACUUUCUUAGAGCGUGAUUUUCACUUAAUUCAACCUUUCUUUACUGAAUACUCCUCUACUGGUCGCAGGCUUAUAACUCCUGAAGGACCGGGUUUGGAUGAUAUUUGCAGAAAAAUUAAAGACCUAACUGAAUGUUACAAGCCACUGGUCAGAGACUGUAAGCUAUAUGAGCACUAUGUAAAUUUGGAACGAAUUAUAAGAAGUCUUGAA
Limulus polyphemus (Atlantic horseshoe crab) is the source of this 272-nucleotide long non-coding RNA. RefSeq lists it as uncharacterized. The transcript has 2 exons. NCBI's taxonomy places the organism in Eukaryota, Metazoa, Arthropoda, Merostomata, Xiphosura, Limulidae. The record is from RefSeq and is a predicted model, not a curated record.